UUUUCCGCGAAACCUAUCGAAGUAGGUUAUUAUAACUAACAUCAUGCAGGUACAGAACUUGAUCUUACUAGGCUAGUCGAAGAGAUAUUUUUCAACUAUAUCGGGGGAUCGUGAAGAUUUUAUCGUUAAGUAAUAGGUCUCGGAAUAGCAGAGAUGAAUGUAUAAUUAUCAGACAUAGUAUGCUAAGGUUGUAUGUCGAGAGGGAAACAGCCCAGAACAAGUGUAAAUAUAAGGUUCCAAAAUUAUUGUUAACAUGAAGUGAAAUAAAGAGAGUUUUUAUCUUAUUCGAUCAGGUGAUGGGCUUAGUGGCGGCCAUUUUUUAAAGACCUCGUAAUAGAGUACUGAUUCAAACAUCGGAAGACUUUCGGUGGGGAUAGAGACAUCUAAAAUUUAACGGAUCAAAACAAUAUACCGACACCUUGUCUAUAAUUAUAGUUGGAAUCCAUAUUAAGAGAUGGAAUGUCUAAUUUAAUUAUGGGGUAGCGGAACGUUGGGUAAUAUUAUUAAAUUAUUCUUUUUAAGAAUAAAAACACAUUAACCCAAGUG
This 546-nucleotide non-coding RNA is filed under the name Drechslerella stenobrocha 248. Its description in RNAcentral is "Bacterial large subunit ribosomal RNA". It matches the Rfam family "Bacterial large subunit ribosomal RNA", at positions 853 to 1290 of the family's 2925-position model. The record is from Rfam by way of RNAcentral. Lineage: Eukaryota; Fungi; Ascomycota; Orbiliomycetes; Orbiliales; Orbiliaceae.